Molecule: non-coding RNA, 83 nt
Filed under: Sulfurovum sp. AR
Lineage: Bacteria; Pseudomonadati; Campylobacterota; Epsilonproteobacteria; Campylobacterales; Sulfurovaceae
Also listed under: 1 other name
Description: c-di-GMP-I-GGC riboswitch aptamer
Rfam family: c-di-GMP-I-GGC riboswitch aptamer
Source: Rfam by way of RNAcentral
GGGAGAAAAGCCAAACCUGUUGUGAAGCAGGGACGGAAAGCCAAGGGUCUCAUAAUAAUACUGAGAUAGCCUAGUUGCCUUUG